AGUGAACGCUGGCGGUAGGCCUAACACAUGCAAGUCGAACGGCAGCACAGUAAGAGCUUGCUCUUACGGGUGGCGAGUGGCGGACGGGUGAGGAAUACAUCGGAAUCUACUUUUUCGUGGGGGAUAACGUAGGGAAACUUACGCUACUACCUCAUACGACCUACGGGUGAAAUCAGGGGAUCUUCGGACCUUGCGCGAAUGAAUGAGCCGAUGUCGGAUUAGCUAGUUGGCGGGGUAAAGGCCCACCAAGGCGACGAUCCGUAGCUGGUCUGAGAGGAUGAUCAGCAACACUGGACCUGGGCAACGGUCAAGACUCCUAGGGGGGGCAGCAGUGGGGAAUAUUGGACAAUGAGGGAAAGCCUAAUGCGGAAAGACCGCGGGGGGGAGGAAGGCCUCCGGGUUGUAAAGCCCUUUUGUUGAGAAAGAAAAGCAGCAGGUUAAUACCCCGAUGUUCUGACGGUACCCAAAGAAAAAGCACCGGCUAACUUCGUG
This 492-nucleotide ribosomal RNA is filed under the name uncultured bacterium. RNAcentral's name for it is "partial 16S ribosomal RNA". It matches the Rfam family "Bacterial small subunit ribosomal RNA", at positions 29 to 507 of the family's 1533-position model. The record is from RNAcentral.